AUAGAACUCCGUUGCUUUAGGUUUUUCCCCUUUUUCUCUCCUCAGGUCUUGCUGUCAGCUGUUAGUAUCAGCAAUGAUUAAACAUAAGCAAGCAUUGUGAUUCAUCAAGAACUGAUAGACUCAUCACUGAUGUAAACAUUCUUUCGUCCCAAGGUCAGAUCAGGAAAAGGAGGCCAGAGUUGUGCCAUUAUAAAACAGAACUUGAGGAAGAUGACUCCAGUUCCAGUAGACAUAGUGGGCAAGGAGAAGAAGCCACAGACCACUUGCAUCAGCUUAACUAAGACUGCAAAGCUGAUUCCACAGUGUGUCAUUUUGGAUGUGAGGAAACAGUACAGAAGGAGUGAAGAUUCGUGCAGCACCUGCAGAAGGCAAUUGAGCAUUACCUGUCAUAAAUACAAAUGCAUUUACUCUUUGGCUUGGAAAUUCCUUCACAAGAUAUUUAUUCUACAGAUAUACAGUCAAACACUCAAGAACUAUGUGUGAACAAGAAAAUUCCAGGCCUGUUUUUUAUGUUUGAAAAGAUCAGAAACAACCUGUAUGACCAUCAAUUGGGGACUAGUUAAAUAUAUUAUGGCAUGUAAUCUGAUGGAUUUUUGCAGCUAUUAAAAAUAAUGGGGCUGCUUUUUAUAUAUGAUCUGGAAGGAUCUUUAAUGCAUGCUGGUUAGUGAAUUAAAAAAGCAAAGUACGCAACAGAAGGUAUAGUUUGAUAUAUAGCAUUUCCUCACAAAAUAUAUCAUAGAUGUCAUAUAUAAAUAUGGAAAAAGUAAACUAUAUAUAACAUAUAUAUGAUGUACAUACAUAACAUUUCUCUAUCUCACACAGACACACACACAUACACACACACAUCAUAUAAAUGCUUAAAACACUUAAUAUAAUACGUUUGACAACAGUGUUUGCCUUUGGGGUGUGAAUAAAAGGACUAGCAGUCAGAAGUGAAAGAGAAAC
Vulpes vulpes (red fox) is the source of this 945-nucleotide long non-coding RNA. The record is from Ensembl. Lineage: Eukaryota; Metazoa; Chordata; Mammalia; Carnivora; Canidae.